Heterocephalus glaber (naked mole-rat) is the source of this 5648-nucleotide non-coding RNA. The record is from RefSeq and is a predicted model, not a curated record. NCBI's taxonomy places the organism in Eukaryota, Metazoa, Chordata, Mammalia, Rodentia, Bathyergidae.
UCUUUUUUAAGCAUUUGAUCAAACGCUUUGCACAUUUUAAAUUGAAAUGGUUGGUUUUUUACUGAGAAUUUUUGAAGGUUCUUGAUAUAUUCAGGACACAAAUCUUUUGUCACACGUAUGUAUUGUACAUAUUAUCUCUCUUAUAUCUCAGUCGUGCUUUGGACAUAUCAUCUCCCCAAUCUGUGGUAUAUCAGUCUAUUCAUUUUCUUUUUUAAAAAAAUUAUUUGCUUUCAAUUUAUUUAUUUGGGGUUUUUUUUGUUGUUUUCUUUUUUGCGGUACCAGAGAUCGAACUUAGGACCUUGUGCUUGUGAGGCAGGCAGUGGCACCACUGAGCUAAAUCCCCAACCCUCUAUUCAUUUUCUUAACAGUAUUUUCUUUUUCAAAUGUGGUUUACAUAUAUAAAAUGCACAGGUACUAACUUAGCUUCAUAGAUUGUGGCAAUGAAAUAUUCUUACAUAACCACCACCCAAAACAAAACAUAGAACAAUUACAUCACCCCUUAUCUUUCUUUUAGUCAGCGUUUCCUACCAGAGGCAACCAGUAUUUGACUUCUUUUGCUUAAAUUUUUUGUUGAACUUUAUGUAGAUGGAAACACAUAGUGUAUUUGUAAAUGAACUCUUAUAGCAGCUAUUCUUUUGUAAUUGGCUUAUUUUACUCAAUGGGUAUUUCAGCAGGGGGGUACUGAACUGAGGACCUUGGGCUCGUGAGGCAGGCGUGGUGCCACUGAGCUAAAUCCCUGGCCCAACUGGUUUUUUUUGUUUGUUUUGAUGGUUCGGGGAUUGAACCCAGGGCAUCAGACAUGCUAAGCAAGGGCUCUACCACUGAGCUACAUUCCUAGCCCUUUCUUCAAUUUUUAUUUUGAGACAGGUUCUUGCUUAGUUGCAUAGGCUAUCUUCAAACUUCAGAUCCACCUGCCUCGGCAUACUGAGGAGCUGGCAUUACACUUAUCACUGUUUUUGUUUGUUUGUUUUUGUACUGAGGAUCGAACUCAGGACCUUGUGCUUGUGAGGCAGGCAGAGAAACCAAUGAGCUAAAUCCCCGGCCCUUAACACUGUUUUUGAGAUUCAUCAGUACACUUAUGUUCUAUUGAACACAUCUGGUGCUGAAGAUCUCACUCUGAAGGAGAGCUUGCUCCCCAACUGAUGAGUUAAGAAUCUAGGAAGCCAACAGCCAUUUCCACAGAUGCCUGCCUUGUAUCUCACUGAUAUCUACUGGGUCUGUGAUACUGUUGUGGUUUUUUUGGAGGGGGUUGUUGUUAUUGUUGUUGUUAUUGUUUUUGACUCUGUUGUCCUGGUGUAAAGAAAUUCUUUAACAUAUCUUUCUUCUUAACAUCUCACUAGAUGCUUAUGCAGUCACUUGGUUUUUACCAUAUCAAGUAAGAUAAAUAAUACUUGCUAACUAAUAUUACAUGCUAAAAAAUUGCUAAUUUCUAUAAUCUUACCAUUCUUGUUCUUUCUUGCAACUGAAGGAUGAGAGGUGAGAUAAAGAGUGAGGUAAUGAGCAAGUGAGGUAAUGUCCGUGUAAGUAAACUGGAACCCAUAAAGUAUUAUGCAGAGAUGGUCUUAAUAGUACAAGCAGCCCUUGUCUUUCACCCACUUUAAUUUUGUGCUAGCUGAAUGCACAAUUUCUCCUUUGUUUACUUUUCGUAUAUUUAGGCUCUUAUCCAUCGUUCGGAGCUGUUGCAAUGUGGUACCCUCUGCCAUGCCCACAGUGCAGUCUUGCUAGGGUUGAUCUCACUGUUGGUACAGUGGGGUUUUUGUAACAAUUUGAAUACUUUUCAUCCUUUUCUUGUAGUAAUAAUAAUGAGAAGUGGAAAAAUGAGGCUGCUGCUGAGUUUAUCUUUUUUAAUUAAAAAAAAUUUAAAAAAACAUUUUUACAGUGCUGGGGAUUGGACCCAGAACUUUACGCCCAUUUAAAAAACAAAUUUUUUUUUUGAAAUAGAAUCUCACUAAGUUGACCAGGCUGACCUCACACUUGCAGCCCUCCUUCACAAGUAGCUGGGGUUACAGGCAUGUGCCACCAUGCCCAGCAAGGCUGCUGCUGACACUAAUGAAGAGAAGCAUCAGUCUCGCAACUGUGGUGUCAUUAAGUCAAGCACGAUCUUUCUCAGAGUGACCCACAGAGCUAGAACUCUGGAGCUCAAGUGAGGAAACCAGCCUAGUCCCACCACAAGGUCACAGUGCUCAACCAGGGGGCGGGACAAAGGAGAUGGACAGCCCUGCCUGACAGCAAGCCACUUCUCUUUCUCUGACAGCCCAGAGCAAUCGUUUCAUGUGAAGCCGCCUUGAUGGCACGUGUCUGCUUCACAUGGUCAAAGUAUGCUGUCCAACUGCAUUAUAGCCUCUUGUGGUAGGCAUCGUAGGUGUCAUCUUUUGGUAUUUGGGUGAGGCAGGAGUCUGAACAGUCACACUUGUAGUCUUGCUAACACUGAGAACCUGGCAGUGAUUUAAAGCACCGUUUAGUACAAGAGAGAUGACUCCUCCAGCAAUUAGUAUUGCCACAUUUUUGUAGCUAAGUCCCAAGGUAGUCUUUCACUUCAUGGCCUCGACUGCCUAUGGAUAGGAUUAGAGGGUGCAGCAAAGAUGUGUAGCCUUCACUAUCUGUUCUACCUUGAAUUAUAUGUGCAUCAAGAAUGCGCAUCAUAAGCUGGGCGUGGUGGUGCAUACCUGUAAUCCCAGCACUGGGAAGGCUGAGGCAGGAGAAUCACUGAGAGUUCAAGGCCAUCCUCAACCACAUAGCAAAACCCUGACUCAAAACAUCCAAAAUAGGGCCAGGGAUUUAGCUCAGUGGUUCCGCCGCCUGCCUCACAAGUGCAAGGACCCAAGUUCAAUUCCCAGUACCAAAAAAAAAAAAUCCAAAAUAAAAAUAUAAAAAUGCAAAUCAUAACUGCAUCAUCAGGAAAGGAACUAGUGGUGAUUUUAGCCCCCUACUAUAUUAAUGCUUUAUGUAUUGGUUUUGGAAAAACUUUGUAAAUGGAUGAAAUCAUAGUUCGAUGGUGUUUUUUGACUCUGAUAGUGCCAAUAUCACUUUUCCCUUGAUAGCAUACUAAACUUAGGUAUGUUCUAUUAUAUUUUAUUGCAUUUUCUCUCAAGAGGAAAAUUCUGCUUAAUAAUAGGGAAAAUGGUACUGUAGAAGAGAAUCGCAGGGAAACAAAAUAUAAUAAUGGUAAUAAUGAGCCACAGCUUUAUUCAGUAAACAUUGGUGAAAUGUAUUUGAGUUGCUGAUGUACGUUUGUUAACCACAUUAUGUAUGUCAGAGAAUGAAGUUUUCUUCAAGGUAUGUAGUACAUGUCAGGGGUUCAGUAGUGCAAAGAAGAUGUGUGUAUAAGUAAUUAUAAUGAAAGGCGAAAAGUAUUAGGCUGAGAGAGAGGUAUAAAUGAGCUGAGACUGUGGCAGACUGGGCAACUAGAAAUGCUUCAUAGGGUGGUAUCUUUGCUAGGUAGCUAGUUCUUAACAGAUUGAAAUUCGAGGUCUAAGAGGUGUCACAGAUUGGAUGUCUGCCAUUUGCCAGAGACUGUGCUAGGCAUUUUACGUGCCUAAUCCAACGGAAUCCUCACAGUAGUUCAAUGAGAAGUGUACUAUCAAUUAUCCUAUUUUAGAACUGAGCGAACUCCUGGCAGAUUAAGUGAUUUUUCUCACAGUCAUGCAGCAGUAAGUCACAGAGCCAGGAUUCAGUCCAGUCAGACAUGAAGGCACCUCUUAAAAACUGGGCUAUACUGCUCUUCAUUCUAGACGUGAAUUCAGCAGUUCAGUGUUUGGAAAAGCACAGACUAUGUUCUAAAAACACACACUAGCAAUUGGCUGGAGAAUAGUGUGUGCGGAGUGUAGAGAGCAGUGGGGAAUAAGGUUGUUCCAGUAAGUUAAGGGCAGAUCACAGAGAACUUUGAAUACUUUGGUAAGAAAUGAGAGCUUUUUGUGAGGUGAUGGAAGCAUUAAAUGCCUAUUGGUAAAGUGGCAGGACCAGAUAUGUGCUUUAUUUAGGAGGACAACUCAGUGUGAAGGGGUGGGAUAAGAGGCAUAAAAACCAGUUAGGCAGCUAUUCCAGUACUGGUGCAUGAGUGAAAAGGCAUGCAUGUCUCCAAGAAUAUGUGAUUUCCUCCUAUAAACCUACUUGGGAUUGUUUCAUUGAAAAAAAAAAAAAACCUAUCCUCUAAAGAACAUAAAGUAGGAAAUAAUUAUUACAUGUAUAAAAUGUGCACUUAUUUUAUAAUAGGGUUUGUUUUAGAGAAUUUUUUGCCUGUGAAUUUCAGGAACUUUAUAAAUUGAUCUAUGUUUAUGUAAUAUUCUUUAAAGAAGCAUUCACCAAUCAAUCAUUGUACAAAGAAAUAUGGAGAAUAUGGAUAUAUCCCUUAAAGCUAAAACCUCUUUCUUACAUGACUCCAUUUUUCUUCUCCACCUUAUGAAUGCCAUUAACUGUAUUAUUACACAUCAAAUAAAUUUCUAAAACAGUUCCAAAGAAACAGAAACCAGCACAGUCAGACAAUGGAAAACCCUUACAGCCUGUUGCCUCUGGACCAUGCUCUGAACUGACAAGUAGUUCCCUUACCCACUGUGGUGCUCACGUUCCUGAGACGUGUGUGUCACUAAGAAGCAAUGUUUGGUACCAUGACACUGGCUUAUUAUGUGGAGUUCACCCUUGUCCAAAGGAAUUGCUCAUGAGGAAGCAGGCUCUGUAGUUCUCCUUUUAUGAGGGCUUUAUCCCCGUCAUUUCCUACCCUGAAAUUUAGAACAAACAAGUAAUGAAAAUUAGGUUUGCUGUGAGAUCUUAUCACUCACCCCUGGGAGCUUAACAGCAAAACUAGAAACGUGUCUCAUGUAACCCAGAGCAAAUGGAAAUUGCAGUACAGGUUGAACAUCCCAAUUCAAAAAUCCAAAAUCCAAAAUGCUCAAUUUCAGAUUUUGAAUUUUCAGAUUAGGGAUGUUUACACUAUAGAGUCUAUGCAAAAAAUCCAAAAUCUGAAAAAGUCUAAUAUCUGAAAUACUUCUUGUCCCUAGAAUUUCAGAUAAGGGAUUCUUAACCUACAUUUUACAUCUCUCCACUGGCCGACAUUUUUCAUUUGCUGCCUAAAACAUGAUCACCUGGAUAUUAUGGAAUCAAUUCAUUUUAAGUGUAGGAGGGAUCAUAUUGAGAUGAGUUUUAUUUUUUAGAGGUACAUAUUAAAUAUUUAUAAUUUGGGCUGGGGAUUUAGCUCAGUGGUUCCACCGCCUGCUUUGCAAGCUCAGGGUCCUGAGUUCAAUCCCCAGCACCAAAAAAAAAAAGAACCAAAAAAAAAUAUUUAUAAUUGGAACUCUGAAGCGGGGCACUGUGGCUCACACCUGUAAUCACAGCUAUAUGGAGACUAAAGCAGGCAGAUCAUAAAUUCAAGCCAACCUGGGCAACUCUGUCUCAAAAUUAAAUAAAGAAGGUUGGGGAUGUAGCUCAGUGGAAGAGUGCCCACUUGCCUGAGGCUCUGGGUUCAAUCCCCAGUACUGGAAAAAACAAAAAGAAAUGAAAAAGGAAGAGGGAGCAAAAUUAAUUGUGAUGCCUGGGAUUUGCUUCAAAAUAGCACAGGAUAUGGGGCCGGGGAUUUAGCUCAGUGGUUCCGGUGCCUGCCUCGCAAGUGCAAGGUCCCGAGUUUGAUCCCCAGUACCAAAAAAAAAAAAAAAAAA